UACGUAGGGUGCAAGCGUUGUCCGGAAUUAUUGGGCGUAAAGAGCUCGUAGGCGGUCUGUCGCGUCUGCUGUGAAAACCUGGGGCUUAACCCCGGGCCUGCAGUGGGUACGGGCAGACUAGAGUGUGGUAGGGGAGACUGGAAUUCCUGGUGUAGCGGUGAAAUGCGCAGGUAUCAGGAGGAACACCGGUGGCGAAGGCGGGUCUCUGGGCCGAUACUGACGCUGAGGAGCGAAAGCGUGGGGAGCGAACAGG
Molecule: ribosomal RNA, 253 nt
Filed under: uncultured bacterium
Lineage: Bacteria
Description: partial 16S ribosomal RNA
Rfam family: Bacterial small subunit ribosomal RNA
Source: RNAcentral